UUUGGAAUGUAUAAAAAUUCUCACAAUCUUGUCUAAUCUUGGAAGCUAAGCAAGGUCGGGCCUGGUUAGUACUUGGAUGUGAGACUGCCUGGGAAUACCAGGUGCUAAAA
This 110-nucleotide ribosomal RNA is filed under the name Cyprinodon variegatus (sheepshead minnow). The record is from RNAcentral. Lineage: Eukaryota; Metazoa; Chordata; Actinopteri; Cyprinodontiformes; Cyprinodontidae.